UCAUGUUUUUUGGAUGGGAUUAGUUACUUUUCGGUGGCUUUUUAGAAAUCAUAAAUACAAGCUUUUGACCUGUGGUCAAAACAACCCAUCAUAAGCCAGCACUUAAACCGUGCAGUAUUUAUCUUUAAGUGAUAGUCAUUUCCCACACUCUGUAAACAUAAAAAAGCUUUAAAAGUCACAGUUAUACCGCAAAAUAAGUGAAGUCAAUCCUUUGUUAACUUAUGGUGGUAAAGUCAUACAUUUGGGAAAUGGAAUUAAUUACUUAGCAGGUGAUUUCUAUCUAAUUUCCAAGCUUUAGGAAGUAGAGUGUGGGCCCCACACACAUGUGCAGUCACACAUGCCUAAAUCUAGAUGCAGCUCUUGUUCGUAGUCUCAAGGUGAGUUUAAAUGAGUAGAAAAAUAGGGACACAAACAAUGGGAAUUACAAUAAAUAUGUCUGGGAUCAAGCCAUGAGCAUAGUUUCAGAAUCGGCCCUGGAGGGCACACCCUAAAUGUGUAAUGGCCCCAAUUCCCUCUCUCAGUGCCACACUGUGCUUUCCACUCCUGCCCUGGAUCCCUAGCCCUCCACCACUAUUCCUGCCAAAAUUGAUUAUAGAUGGAGUCAAGGUGGGACUCAGCUCAGGGCACUCAGUCUGUUCUCUCCACUCCACAGAUUCAGGCUGCUGAGAGGAAGACAGCUUUUAUAGUGUUCCCACCCUGACCAUCCACAGCAACAAUGUCUCUUUGUUGCUGGGCAAUCAUUUGUAUGUCUGGGGCAUGCUUAUGACAUCACUUGUGAGCCCUGUAGCAGUAGCCUGCUCUGCCCCAGUCUUUCCAAUUGCUGCCACCAGACAGGGGAUGAAUGCUGUAAUUCCCAGCGAUCCACUCCACCCACACAAAUCUGAGUUAAAGAAGAAGAAAAGAAAUAAGAAAGGAGUAAGAGAUGGAUCUCUCAGACGAUGGAGAACAGAGAGGGACAGGCAUGCAAGCAAGCAAGCAAGUAAGCAAGCAGCAGCAGCUGAUUAACAGAGGCAGGAAACACACUUAUCAAGGAGAGGAAGAGGAGAGGGCUUGUCUCAAAUCUUAAAAGGUGGAGGAAAAAAACUUUGUUAAUUGUUUAGUGCUGAAAGAUAGUCACCUUAGCCAAAGGAAGGUUCCUCCCACCUAUUGUCGUUUAGUCGUUUAGUCGUGUCCGACUCUUCGUGACCCCAUGGACCAGAGCACGCCAGGCCCUCCUAUCUUCCACUGCCUCCCGGAGUUGGGUCAAAUUCAUUCUGGUAGCUUCGAUGACAGUGUCCAACUUCCCACCUAUUGCUAAACAACGUGUGAGAUUGUUAAUUUUCCAAUAAUUUGAAGCAGGGAUACCCAAAGUGAUUUUGUGGACAGAGUGAUGGACUCAGGAGGCCUGAGUUCGAAUCUCUACUCACCCAUGGAAACUCAUAGGGAGUGUGGUACUGGUAAAGCCAUUCCUUAAAUAUCUCACUUACUUUGAAAGCCUCUUAGGGUUGCUAUAAGUUGUUUCCAACUUAUUGAUGCAUAACAACGGUAAUUUGAAGGAGGACUUGGUAUCCCCAGAGCUCUGGGGGCUGUACACAUCCAUCUCUGGCCCAUGGAAGGCGGCAUCUUCUCCUACAACUCCACGUCACUUUUCCCCCCAAGAAUUUUAUUUUAUUUUUAUUUUUACUAAAAAGACUCCUUGUACCUUCUAGUAUUAAUUUUUUUUAGAAAAAUGUAAAACAAAUUAGGGGGAUGAUGUACUGGAGCCCUUCAAGACAUAGCAGAAUCAUUUUUCACAUUGCAUAAGGGGACUUUUUGAGUAAAAAUAUUCUGAUUUUUGUUUCAAAUUUGAGCCUGGGGUAAAAUUUCAAAAAGUGAAACUACAUUGUGGAGGGAAGUAGAGGAUUUAAUCCAUCUCUAGAAUUCAUUGGGAAUGUUGGAAAACAACAGCCUCCUUUGCCAAAUGAAGCUUGGAAAUAAUUUGGUCUAAAUUUUCUUCAGCUCUAUUUUAGAUACUAUAAAUCUGGAUUCAACUGACUUUUUUUUUUAACCUGGUGUAACAUCUAAAUUUGAUCUCCAGUUUUAUUUAUUUUAUUUUAUUUUAUUUAUUAAUUAAAUUUAUAUCCCACCCCUCUAGACCAGGUCUACUCGGGGCAGCUUACAGCAUAAAAUAAGACAAUAUAAAAUAUAGAUAACCAUAAAAAUACAAUUGGUAUAUUAGUUAAUACAAUUAAUUUAGGAAAUAAUUGCCAAUAGGAUAAGAUGGGAAAAAUAAAAAUAAAAGACUUAGCUGACUUUGCUGAUAU
RNAcentral lists this long non-coding RNA (2282 nucleotides) under Pogona vitticeps (central bearded dragon). RNAcentral's name for it is "lncRNA (ENSPVIG00000015367.1)". Lineage: Eukaryota; Metazoa; Chordata; Lepidosauria; Squamata; Agamidae. The record is from RNAcentral.